This 2925-nucleotide long non-coding RNA is filed under the name Marmota monax (woodchuck). Lineage: Eukaryota; Metazoa; Chordata; Mammalia; Rodentia; Sciuridae. The record is from RNAcentral.
UCACAGUUUUCAUAGUUUAAAUUGUGAUACUUUCUCACAUCUCCCCAAGUCUUUUGUGCUUUGUCGUCAUACAUAUUACAGCUGUAUACAUUUUUUACCUUAGUCAUGUUUCCAAGAAAUUAAAAGAAUAAAUAUGUAUACAUAUUGCCUUUUAUAUUUACCUACAUUUUACUAUUUCUAGUACUUUUCAUUUCUGUUUAUGGUGCAUUGUCUUUAAAAAUAUCUACCCCAAAUUCUUCACAUUCCUGUAUCAUGUUGCUUCUCUCAUUAUGAAGUAAUAUCUAUUUUCCUACCUGCUGAGUCUGGGCUGGUAUUUUGUCUUGUUUUAAUGAACAAAAUAUGUUUUUGGUGAAAGUGAUGCCAUGCCAAUCCUAGACCUAACACCUUGGGAAGGUGUAUACCUUCUACUUUUAUCCUCUAGGAAUCCAAUCAACAAAUAAAAAAUUUUAGAAUGACUGAAUGACUAAAAGCAUUUGAGGAGAAAAGCCUGACCCAACCAGUUGAGCUAGCAGACAUGUAAACGAAGCUAUUUUGUCAGUUCUACCUUUGGUUAAACAAUCCCUGCUAAAGGAAACCACAUAAGCAGUAAUAAAUACCUAGAGCAAAGGACCCAUCAGGUUAUGUAAUGCCAAAUUAUAGAAUAAGGAGAAAUAACAAAGAAUUUUUAUUUUAAAUCAUUAAGUUUAUUACACAGUGAACUAAAACACACAGUGCAUCUGUUUCUAGCUGGUGGAUCAUCUCCUUUUAUCCUGAAGAGGUUCUUUUAGCAUUGUUCAUAGUAGAUAUCUAUUGGUAUUGAAUUUUCUUACUUUUUAUUUAUUUGAAAAUGUCUAUUCUGCUUUCAGUUUUGAAGAGUAUUUAUCCUGGAUUAGCAGUUUUUGUCUUCUAGCACCUUAAACCUUUCCAUUAACUUUAACCUCUCAUUUCUGAUAAGAUGUCAGCUAUUAUUUUAGUCAUUUUUACCAAUGCAUAACACACCACUCUUUUCUAAUUGCCUUCAAGACCUUUUUCCUCCUAAUUGAUUAUUUACAGUGGACUCUGAUGCAUCUAGAUGUGAUUUUCUUUGUAACUAACCUUUGUAUCCACUGAGUUUCCUAAAUCUGUUAACAUCUUUUUUGUUAAUUUGGGAUAAUUUUAGCCAUCAUUAUCUUAAAUAUUUUUUUCUGUACAACUUAUGCCUCUAUUCUUUUAGAAAUCUAAUUAUAUGUAUGUUAGGUCACUUUGUACUGAUAGUAACCACGUCUCUAUUUUUUUCUUUCUGAUUUUUAGACCAGAUAAUUUUUAUUGGUCUAUCUCCAAGUUAACUUUUUGUUGUUUUUGCACUAUACAAUCUGAUGAUAGAUUUGCUUCAUGAAUUUUUCAUUUCAAAUACUAUACUUUUUAUUUCUUUUAAAAGAAAUUUUUCAUUUAUAUAGUGACACCCAUAUCUACUUAUUCAUUAUGAUUAAGCUUUUCUUUAACUCCUUGAAAUUAGUUAUAAAAACUAUUUAAAUUUUUUUUCUGCUAAUCCUAACAUCUGGGUCAGCUCAUGGAACUUUUUUUAUAUGUGAUAUUUUCUCUUGUUCUCAUUUUUCUAUCUUCUUUGCAUUCUGGCAAAAUUUAAUGAUAUUCUACAUGCCUAUAAUCCCAGCGACUCAGGAGGCUAAGGCAGGAGGAUCAAGAGUUCAAAGCUAGCCUCCGCAACUAAGGGAUGCACUUAGCAACUCAAUGAGACCCUGUAUCUAAAUAAAAUGCAAAAAAAGGGCUGAGGUUGUGGCUCAAUGGUUAAGCACCCCUGGGUUCAAUCCCUGGUACCAAAAAAAUUUUUUUAAUUAUAUUCUGGUCAUUUAUAGAUGACACAUCAUAGGAAGUCUGGAUUAUGUUGUCUUCCUAUAAAGGAUAUUCUGUUUUAUGUGUCAUGCAGGCUAAUUACUGGUAAAUUGUUUUGAUCAUAUUAGAUUUGGUAUUAUUAUUAUUAUUAUUACUAUUAUUAUUAUUAUUAUUUGGUACCAGAGAUUGAACUCAGGGUACUCAAUUACUGAGCCACAUCCCCAGACCUAUUUUGUAUUUUACUGAGAGACAGGGUCUUGCUGAGCUGCUUUAGCACCUCGAUUUACUAAGGCUGGCUUUGAGCUCGUGAUCCUCUUGCUUCAUCCACCCCAGUCACUGGGAUUAUAGGCAUAUUCCACCGCGCCUGGCUAGGUUUGGUAUUUUUCUUUUUUUCCAUAUUUCAAUGGUGCAUUAUACUUGUACAUAAUGGUGGGAUUUGUUGUUAUGUUUUCAUACAUAUGUACAAUAUAGUGAUAAAACUUAGCCAAUAUCUUUCUCGAGUAUUUCUCUUUUACCUGCUUUCCUCUCUCCCCUGAUCCCUUUCCUCUAUUCUACUGAUCUCCCUUUGAUUGUCGUGAGAUUCCUUUCACACACACACACACCUUUCUUUUCCUUUUUCCUUUCUGGCUGCCACAUACAUUUUUAGCAUGAAUCAAUUUUGGUUUCAAAUUUAGGUCUACCAUUUUCCCUUUACUCUUUUGUGUGUGGUUCUUUUUGCUAAGGCUUAUUUCUGAACUCUUAAUUAAGUACCUGAUAUACUAGUGAAGCUGCUGCAACCUGACUCUGCUGGGAACCUAAUUUCUUCCAACAUUGCCAUUUAGCAUCAUCUUCAGUCUCCUUUAUAGCAGUCAAACUCUGCUAAGCCUUAAAGAGUCUCAUCUGGUACAUUCAUAUCAAAAAUGAAUUUCCUCCAGGCUUUUAGUAUUCUCUCUCUAACACACACACACAUAAUCACAUUGCAUACACCAUACAUAGCUCAGACAUUCUUGUCCACAAAAUUCCAACCACUAUGAUAAUCUUGCACUUUGAUAAUUUUCUCCUUAACUCAGUAUGACCACCAUCUUACUUGAGCUUCAUCCCCCUAAUUAAGUGUGUUUUGUGCACCAGGCCUACAGC